GCAGCUGAACUGAAAGUCAUGUCAAGGUUAGAGCAGUUUUAUUGAUUGAUUAUAGGGCUUGGGUGCCAUGAAUGGCAUGGCUAGUCCGUCAGGACUAUCAAUACGUGGUAAAAAAAGUUUCGCUUUGUAUUUAAAGAUUGCUUUCUCCAAUCAGCAGUCGAAAAUCUUUAAAAAUCCAGCCACGUAAAAGCAAUUAACAGCUUCAAUUUUUGUGUGCUGCAACUAGUUUUGCAGCUUCUUUUAUUUACUUAUUUACAAAGUAGAGUGCGAAACUUUUAACGCACCGAUCGAUAUGAGCCGAAGGACUUGGAAGGACGAGGCACGUGGGCGGAGAACCAGCAGGAGGCGACUUCUCAAAGGUAAAUUAAGGUGUGCCUCCUUUUUGCCGCGUGCUUGUCCUUUGCCGAAGGUGUGGGUGUGGUUGUUGCUGGGUGGGUGGCUUUCUGGUUGCCUGCGGUGUGCUUAAACAUAAGAACACUUUGUGCGGCAGGGCCAAAUUAUAUGGCACAGCCGUCCGCCGGAUGGCCAAGUCGAGUCGGGCCAACGUACUGCUGCCCACCUAAGAGUGGUUGGAAACAAGGUUACCUGGUACGCACCACGCGGCGAAAACAGAGAAAAAUGUCUUCAAGGCACGCGAGCCAAGCGGACCACAAGUAACCGAGAAAACGAGCCUCGUCAGGCGCCCACAAAAGACCAAACAAAGCCCAGGCACACAAAACACAGCCGAGAAAAUGAUGGAAAUGUGGAAAAGUGGAAUGAAAACAGUCGAACUUCUUUAGCGCAAACAGCAUUAUAAUUAUAAUAUAGUGCAACUUGUUCUUGGACUUAAAGAAAACCAGUUGAAAUCAUCAUUUCAAAAAAAUCAAUUGUCAUUUAUGUCAAAGCAAAAAAUAAUUUAUGUUUAUAAAGUCAACUGCGGUUAAAAUGAUCAUGACAAGUUAAAACUGCACUGACGAUUUGAGGUAUACAGCAGUCCCAAUUGAAGACUCACUUGAUGCGCUUCGUCAUUACGCCUUCUACCGUUCACAGUGGUGUGUCAUCAAAUGGAUGUUUUGUUAAAUAUACAAAAUUAAUUUAUAGAACAUAUGUGGUUUUCACCAACUUCGUCUUUAAAGUACCCAAUUAUUUGUAAAUAAUGUACCAAUAGAUUGUAACUUUUGUCGGAUGUGCCAAAAAAAAGAUCAUAUUCAUACUUUAAAAUACAUAGUUUAAUGUGUUUAAUGUUUCGCCAGAGCUACGCAAGUAACUGGUUGGAUACUAAAAGCUUAGUAAGUUGUUAGGGUAGCUUUACUGUUGAGCGGGCUUACAUGCAACGUCAAUUUGCGCAGCAGUUAAGCUUAAUACAAAUUUAAUUUACAGCUAAUUGUUUGACCCGAGAGAUGUGCCAUCAUUUGUCAUUUUGCGAAAUGGAGCCGCCUAAGCGAUUAAUUAAUUCUCCGCAGCAAAAUGGAGCAAACAAUUGAAAAUCGACACUGGAAGGUGGCCGGAAGUCAGCGGAAAGUCCCGAGUGGCCAGGAUCAGGAUGCCGGAGCCUCGAGGGCGAUAAAAAAUGAGGAUAGAAUAAACUUCAAAGCGCGACCAUAACGAGCACGGCAAACAAGCCAACCAACCAGACUGCAGCACAUUAAUUGCGUACCUUAAUGUUUAUUUUCAAUUAAGCAUUCAGUCGUGCCCAGAACGAGUGCUCUGAGUCUGGAGUAUGAUGUCCUACGCCUUUUGGCAAUUAGACGGCGGGCAGGACUAGUCUGGCAUCUGGCAUCUGUUUGGAAGCAAGCGAGCCACAACCACUCUUUAGCCACCGCCGAGCAAGAAAAAUAAAAACAAACACAGCACUUGUAAAACAUAACGCUGCGCCUUUCGGGGCUGGUUUUGCCCAAGGUGAACCCCGACCACCAACCAACCAAACAUCCACCCACCCACCACCACCACCACCUCACGCCCACCCAACCCCUGCUGGUUACAUUCUAUCGAUUUUUAUAACAUGUGAAAUUCGUGUGGGCAUUUUUGAAUAUCUUCUCGCAGUUCCUGGGUAACAAGAACUAACGCUAACUGCUAUCAAAUACUUCUCUGGCCUAAUUGGAUUGCUAUGACCGCAACCAGUUUUUCCAAUGUCCUGCCGGGAGCAAAACCCCUUCUUCCCAUCCUCGCCACCACCCUGUCGCAGGAGGUUUAAAAUAUAUUUCCCUUAAAAUAUUUCCGCUGCCAUCCAACUUGAUGGGUUCAUAGUGCCGCCGAUCCUUUCUGCGCGAUAUUGACAGCGUGAUAGACAGCAGGAUGCCUGCCAGAAGGAUUUCGGUUUGUUGUUGCUGCGCCUGUCAGUGGCAGUGUCUGGAUUUUUGUCAUGGGGCAUGGCAUGGAACAUGGCAUGGGGCUUUCACAAGCUUCCUCAGGGCGCAACGUUUGACGGCAGUCGCAGCCACAUCCACUGCGAAUGGGAUUCCAAAGGGGGAUUCGGCAACCCGCUGCGCCAAAGUUCAUUUCGGAGCUGAGACGACGCAGCAAGUGGCGGCCCAAAGGUAAACAAGGUAUGAUACGAACUGAAGAACUGCUCCUUACACCGCGAUUUAUAUGAGCUGAAGGUGCAACUACAUGAAAAGUCAGUACACUUUGCAGUAACGGAUAAGAUUUCUGCUUGAAGUCUGCUCAUGGCAUGUGGCUGAUAGGCAUGUGAAUAUUUAAGUUUAUUGACAUAUUCAGAUGGUGCGGAAAGAAACGUAAGGGAUUGCCGAAAAAAGUAAGGGAAGAAUAUGAUGAGAUUCAGAAAAACAAAAACUUAAUUGACAGCUACAAAUUUCCCAGCGGAUAACCCAAGUUGAACUGAAGUUUGAUUAAUAAUGGCAGAGUAAGAGAUUAAUGAUUACGUGUCCAUGUCAGCCUAUUAAUAUUGUAUUCAAUAAAUAUACGAUGCAUACUUUUGACAGUACGAUUUUUGCCAAGCUUAUUAGCUUUCAAAAUUGAAAGCCGUAAUAUAAAUUCAAGUAAAUACGAUAUUCUGCUUGUUAAAAUCAGAUACUAUUCAGAUACAUUGUCCGUGCGAUUUCGGACAGAUCCGUACCCAAGUGCAGCCCGCAUUGUGAAUUUAGAAAGGCAACCGAGCAUAAGCCCCUGAAAAUGUUUGCAAUUGAUUGCGCUCUUUAUGCUGGAGUCGACAAGUCAGCUGACAGCUGACACGGAGUGUCACAGCCAAGGACGAAGGACGAAACGCAAGGAAUUCAGGACCAAGAAGGGUAACAUGAGACGAUGCCUCGUUAGCGCGGAUAUACCAGCGGAGAAGUCGUGGGAGUUGCGAAAGGUAAAGAGUUAAGGAUGAUGAUGAAGUGGGUCUGUAAUUCCCCAACCGAUAUGAAAUUUUAUCAGCGAAAGCUGUGUGGGUGGAAAAGCCCGCCAGCAGCCAGUAUUGGAUUACCCUUUAAUUUAACUGAAUUUUAUAACAAGUUGAACUCGUGCACUUGCCCCGUCCCAAAAUAUAACUAAUUGCUAAUUA
Drosophila yakuba is the source of this 3484-nucleotide long non-coding RNA. RefSeq lists it as uncharacterized. The transcript is spliced from 2 exons. The record is from RefSeq and is a predicted model, not a curated record. Lineage: Eukaryota; Metazoa; Arthropoda; Insecta; Diptera; Drosophilidae.